AAACGCUGGCGGCGUGCUUAACACAUGCAAGUCGAACGGAGAUAGGAAGAGCUUGCUCUUCCGAAUCUUAGUGGCGGACGGGUGAGUAACGCGUGAGCAACCUGCCUUUCAGAGGGGGACAACGUUUGGAAACGAACGCUAAUACCGCAUAAGAUCGUAGGGCCACAUGGUCCAGCGACCAAAGGAGCAAUCCGCUGAAAGAUGGGCUCGCGUCUGAUUAGAUAGUUGGUGGGGUAACGGCCUACCAAGUCGACGAUCAGUAGCCGGACUGAGAGGUUGAACGGCCACAUUGGGACUGAGAUACGGCCCAGACUCCUACGGGAGGCAGCAGUGGGGAAUAUUGCACAAUGGGGGAAACCCUGAUGCAGCAACGCCGCGUGAAGGAUGACGGUUUUCGGAUUGUAAACUUCUGUUCUCGUUGACGAAGACAGUGACGGUAAACGAGGAGCAAGCCACGGCUAACUACGUGCCAGCAGCCGCGGUAA
Molecule: ribosomal RNA, 485 nt
Filed under: uncultured bacterium
Lineage: Bacteria
Description: bacterial SSU rRNA
Rfam family: Bacterial small subunit ribosomal RNA
Source: RNAcentral